Molecule: ribosomal RNA, 556 nt
Filed under: uncultured bacterium
Lineage: Bacteria
Description: bacterial SSU rRNA
Rfam family: Bacterial small subunit ribosomal RNA
Source: RNAcentral
AGAGUUUGAUCCUGGCUCAGAACGAACGUGCCUGGCGGCGUGCUUAACACAUGCAAGUCGAACGGGGUUAUACGGAGAAAUUGGUUUCGGCUGGUGGAUUUGUAUAACUUAGUGGCGGACGGGUGAGGAACACGUAGGUAACCAAUCCUGAAGCGGGGGAUGUCAACUGCGGGAAACCGGAGCUAAUACCGCAUAAGACCACAGGCUGGAAGGCUGGUGGUAAAAGGAGCAAUUCACUUCAGGCUGGGCCUGCGGCCUAUCAGGUAGUUGGUGGGGUAAUGGCCUACCAAGGAUACGACGAUGGUUAGCGGGUCUGAGAGGAUGAUCCGCCACACUGGAACUGGAACACGGACCAGACUCCUACGGGAGGCAGCAGUGGGGAAUAUUGGACAAUGGGGGAAACCCUGAUCCAGCAAUGCCGCGUCCUGUGUGAAGAAGGCCUGCGGGUUGUAAAGCACUUUCAGCAGAGAAGAAAAGCCUGGGGCUAAUAUCCCCGGGUCUUGACGUAACCUGCAGAAGAAGCACCGGCUAACUCCGUGCCAGCAGCCGCGGUAAU